GAUGAACGCUAGCUACAGGCUUAACACAUGCAAGUCGAGGGGCAGCAUGAACAUAGCUUGCUGAUUUUGAUGGCGACCGGCGCGACGGUGAGUAACGCGUAUCCGACCUGCCCCGUACUCAUGGAUAGCCUUGCGAAAGCAAGGGGUAAUACAUGAUGUUGUCAUUGUUCUGCAUGGGAUGAUGACCAAAGGUUACCGGUACGGGAUGGGGAUGCGUAACAUUAGGUAGUAGGCGGGGUAACGGCCCACCUAGCCUACGAUGUUUAGGGGUUCUGAGAGGAAGGUCCCCCACACUGGAACUGAGACACGGUCCAGACUCCUACGGGAGGCAGCAGUGAGGAAUAUUGGUCAAUGGUCGAGAGACUGAACCAGCCAAGUAGCGUGCAGGAUGACGGCCCUCCGGGUUGUAAACUGCUUUUAGUUGGGAAUAAAGUUCGGGACGUGUCCCGUUUUGUAUGUACCAUCAGAAAAAGGACCGGCUAAUUCCGUG
RNAcentral lists this ribosomal RNA (490 nucleotides) under uncultured bacterium. RNAcentral's name for it is "bacterial SSU rRNA". It matches the Rfam family "Bacterial small subunit ribosomal RNA", at positions 28 to 507 of the family's 1533-position model. The record is from RNAcentral.